GUUGAGGGUCGGGUAAUCGCGAAAGCUUGCUUUCGAGGAAAGUCCGGGCUCCCAUAAAGCAGGAUGCCGGAUAACGUCCGGCGGGGCCUUUGGGCCUUAGGGAAAGUGCCACAGAAAACAAACCGCCCUGACAGCUAUUGGCUGUUAGGGUAAGGGUGAAAAGGUGCGGUAAGAGCGCACCGCCAUUUUGGUAACAAAAUGGGCAGGGUAAACCCCAUCCGGAGCAAGACCAAAUAGGGGCGGCGCAUGGCGCGCUUUAUCGCUGUCGCCCGGGUAGGUCGCUUGAGGGUAUGGGUAACCAUACUCCCAGAUGAAUGAUUACCGUUCAAAAUCCGAUUUUGAAUACAGAACCCGGCUUACAGACCCUCAACCUUU
RNAcentral lists this RNase P RNA (375 nucleotides) under Hellea balneolensis. RNAcentral's name for it is "RNase P RNA component class A". It matches the Rfam family "Bacterial RNase P class A". Rfam says of the family: Ribonuclease P (RNase P) is a ubiquitous endoribonuclease, found in archaea, bacteria and eukarya as well as chloroplasts and mitochondria. Its best characterised activity is the generation of mature 5'-ends of tRNAs by cleaving the 5'-leader elements of precursor-tRNAs. Cellular RNase Ps are ribonucleoproteins. The record is from RNAcentral. Lineage: Bacteria; Pseudomonadati; Pseudomonadota; Alphaproteobacteria; Maricaulales; Robiginitomaculaceae.